UAUCACCUCUCAAGCCUAGCUUGUUGUUGGAUCUAGGUGGUGCUUUAAGCACAACCGGUCCCAAAGACAAUGACGGCGUCUGUGAGGACCCCAGUACACUGAGCUUUUAAUAGCACGUGCCAGGCGGAAAUCCAGGCCCGGUCUUAAUAAUUUUUACCAAGGUUGACCUCGGAUCAGGUAGGAAUACCCGCUGAACUUAA
This 200-nucleotide unclassified non-coding RNA is filed under the name soil metagenome. Its description in RNAcentral is "partial contains internal transcribed spacer 2 and large subunit ribosomal RNA". The record is from RNAcentral.